UAUCUGGGGGAAUAGUGGUUAGGCCACAGAACACUCACUGCUGCGGCCCGGGUUCGAUUCCUGGCCAGGGAC
Molecule: transfer RNA, 72 nt
Filed under: Pangasius djambal
Lineage: Eukaryota; Metazoa; Chordata; Actinopteri; Siluriformes; Pangasiidae
Description: tRNA-Glu
Source: RNAcentral